GUAGGUGAACCUGCGGAAGGAUCAUUAUCGUGAAUCCAUACCAACCCUUGCGAAUCGUCUGUUCGGCGAUGGAUUCUGAUUCGUCGGAUGAUAUUGCCGAGGCCCCACAACAGGUAACUCUGUGUGGGCGCCACUAUCAACUUACUCGUCUCGAGUGUGUUUGUCUUCUAUAGCCAUACGCAAGUGUGUCUCUGAAACAAUCUAAAACUCUUAACAGUGGAUAUCUUGGCUCGC
Molecule: unclassified non-coding RNA, 234 nt
Filed under: rhizosphere metagenome
Description: partial ribosomal RNA internal transcribed spacer region
Source: RNAcentral